CCGGGGAAGGCAGAACCCUGGCGUGGGAGCCCUGCGCUGCUCAGGACCGCGUCGCCCACUCUUUUUAGCUGUGCUGCUCAGCACGGAGGCCCCUUCGGCCCUCCGAAACGACGUCUCCCAUGUGGAAAUGGCAUUAUCUUCACCCACUGGACUUCAAAGAGAGAGAGCAGCUAGUAUCCUGGGAAGCUAAUCGGAUUUAUUUGGUUCUAUCUUUCCCCUGGGACAGGGCGUAAAGAAGAUAUUUAUGUAUCUACAUCUCACUAGGCCUGGUUUAGCCGUGGAGGGAGAUGAGCUUUUAGAGCCGAAAGUCAUACACAGUACUUUCUUAUCAAGCCUAAGCAUAUGGACUUGGUUCAUCACACCCCUGGGAAGAAGCAGGAAAAUCUACCUCACAGGCUGGUUGGUCAGUAUCUGCAUGUGGGCCUACUAACCCAGCUUCCACGGGCAGCCUCCCCAACCGGAGAGAUGGACUGGUACCAGUCCCUGCACACCCCAAACCCUCACGACCAAGGAGCAUAAAGCCAAAUUGGGAUCCGGCCGGCAAGUGUGGCUGUGGCCAUGGAGACCAGCAAGCUGACUGGCUCUGAUUUUCUGCAGAAAGCAUACUGUACUCAGCUCUUUUGGAUGCCUGAGUUCUCUGUUGCCUUGGGCAAAAAACCUAAAUUUUUAGCAUCUUGGUUGCUACAUAUGUCAAAUAUGAAUUAUGUGAAACUGCAGGUCUGUUUCCAAAAUCAAUUGAGAUGCCACAUGUCCAUGACUCUCAAUCCUUAGACUCAUUUGGAAUGGGACCCAGGAAUUUGGAAUUUUUAAAAAAGAUUUCAUUUAAUUUAUUUGAGAGACAGAUAUCACAGAGGCAGAGGGAGAGGGAGAAGCAGACUCGCUGCUGAUCUGGGAGCCCCAUGCGGGGCUCGAUCCAAGGACCCUGGGAUUGUGACUAGAGCCAGAGGCGGAUGCUUAACCAACUGGGCCACCCAGGUGCCCCAAGAAUUUGAAUUUCUAACAAGUACCCAGGUGAUACUGAUGCUGCUGGUCCUCCUACCCUGACACAUGGUUUGAGAACUCUUGUUACAUGUGAGAAAUUACAAAUGUGUGCUAUGUUAAUGUUCCAUAUACAUCAAAGGAACUCAUCAGUUAUACAUUGUUUUGAGGAAGCAGACAUAAAAUUUUGGUUCAGAGUUAGGGGGCCCUUACUGGACGUACAAUAGAAAUACUCCUGGAUCCUCAAAGAAGCACCUAAGGGAUUGCCAGUGCCCAGAAAAACCUAAAGACAUCAGUGCAGACCCCUAAUAUAGCAAGGAAAACCCCACCCAAGCUGGACGUGUGCACUUUUGCUGUUGCCCACAUUUUCAGAAAUCGGACUCCCCAGAGGCAGAGCUUUGGACGGAGAAGAGCAGAGCCUGGAAACUCUUUGCUGGGAAGGGAAGAGUGAAUGACCAUGGCCAAGAGGUUGCUGGGAAUCUGAACCUGUUUUCUUUCCUGGGCGAAGUUAGGAGCCGGACACAGACCAGGCUUCCACCCCUGGCCUCCAGAGUGUCAAUCCUGGGGCCCGCGCCGGGGGCCUGUGCUUAUCAGCAGUGAGAAAACGGCGGUCUGGCCCAGUUCCAUUCGGGAGAGGCAGAGGCGACGCUGUGAGGGAGGGACAGAGAGUACCUCUCUGCCCCAAGCAACAGACAUUCAGGAAAGAAAGUGAAACUAACUGGGGGCAUGCAUUCUGCAAACACUCCCUGAAGAAGACGCUGAGGAUUUAAAGAUACGAUGUAAUCCUUGCCUUCAAGAAGCUUCUAGUCUAGUGCAAUGGCAGCAGAAUCUCUGCGAGGAAGACCAAGAUGUGUCAGUGCAGGGAGAUGGCCAAGCUGCUGGACUGUCCACCUGAAAAGGGAGGGCCACUCAGAUGCACUGAGAAACGUCACCAUGCCAAGGCAAGCCCUGCUUACC
Mustela lutreola (European mink) is the source of this 1935-nucleotide long non-coding RNA. RefSeq lists it as uncharacterized. The transcript has 4 exons. The record is from RefSeq and is a predicted model, not a curated record. Lineage: Eukaryota; Metazoa; Chordata; Mammalia; Carnivora; Mustelidae.